CAUGAACUUAGCUUGCUAAGUUUGAUGGCGACCGGCGCACGGGUGAGUAACACGUAUCCCCCUUGCCGAUGACUCGGGGAUAGCCUUUCGAAAGAAAGAUUCAUACCCGAUGGCAUAGUUCUUCCGCAUGGUAGAACUAUUAAAGAACUUCGGUCAUCGAUGGGGAUGCGUUCCAUUAGGCUGUUGGCGGGGUAACGGCCCACCAAGCCUUCGAUGGAUAGGGGUUCUGAGAGGAAGGCCCCCCACAUUGGAACUGAGACACGGUCCAAACUCCUACGGGAGGCAGCAGUGAGGAAUAUUGGUCAAUGGACGAGAGUCUGAACCAGCCAAGUAGCGUGAAGGAUGACUGCCCUAUGGGUUGUAAACUUCUUUUGUGCGGGAAUAAAGGAGCCUACGUGUAGGUUUUUGCAUGUACCGUAACGAAUAAGCAUCGGCUAACUCCGUGCCAGCAGCCGCGGUAAUACGGAGGAUGCGAGCGUUAUCCGGAUUUAUUGGGUUUAAAGGGAGCGUAGACGGGUUUUUAAGUCAGCUGUGAAAGUUUGGGGCUUAACCUUAAAAUUGCAGUUGAAACUGGAGACCUUGAGUACGGUUGAGGCAGGCGGAAUUCGUGGUGUAGCGGUGAAAUGCUUAGAUAUCACGAAGAACUCCGAUUG
RNAcentral lists this ribosomal RNA (653 nucleotides) under uncultured Bacteroides sp. RNAcentral describes it as "bacterial SSU rRNA". It matches the Rfam family "Bacterial small subunit ribosomal RNA", at positions 70 to 715 of the family's 1533-position model. The record is from RNAcentral. Lineage: Bacteria; Pseudomonadati; Bacteroidota; Bacteroidia; Bacteroidales; Bacteroidaceae.